GGCCAGCUCUAUUCUCGGCUCUCUGAGUCGGUGUAGAGUUUGGUCAUCCGUAUGGGAAGCUAGCUCGGCCUUCACUGGUCGGCUAGUGGAUCAUACACUUUACUUUGAAAAAAUUAGAGUGUUUCAGGCAGGCAAUUGCUUGGAUACUGCAGCAUGGAAUAAUGGAAUAGGACUUUGGUCUAUUUAUUGGUUUGAGAUCAAAGUA
This 205-nucleotide ribosomal RNA is filed under the name uncultured fungus. RNAcentral's name for it is "partial small subunit ribosomal RNA". The stretch from base 84 to 205 matches the Rfam family "Eukaryotic small subunit ribosomal RNA", at positions 736 to 864 of the family's 1831-position model. The record is from RNAcentral. Lineage: Eukaryota; Fungi.